UACGUAGGGGGCGAGCGUUGUCCGGAGUUACUGGGCGUAAAGCGCACGCAGGCGGUCUGCUAAGUUUGGAGUGACAGUUGGUGGCUUAACUGCCAAAGUGCUUCGAAAACUGACAGACUUGAGGGCUUCAGAGGGACACGGAAUUCCGGGUGGAGUGGUGAAAUGCGUAGAUAUCAGGAGGAACACCGGUGGCGAAGGCGCACAUCUGGCCCGAUACUGACGCUGAGGCGCGAAAGCUAGGGGAGCAAACGGG
This 253-nucleotide ribosomal RNA is filed under the name uncultured bacterium. Its description in RNAcentral is "partial 16S ribosomal RNA". It matches the Rfam family "Bacterial small subunit ribosomal RNA", at positions 524 to 776 of the family's 1533-position model. The record is from RNAcentral.